Long non-coding RNA from Salvia hispanica, 1086 nucleotides. RefSeq lists it as uncharacterized. Lineage: Eukaryota; Viridiplantae; Streptophyta; Magnoliopsida; Lamiales; Lamiaceae. The record is from RefSeq and is a predicted model, not a curated record.
CUUUAGCCUCUCUCUUUUUUUUUUUUGUUCAUCUCCUAUGAUUUAGGUGUGGAAAGGAAGUAGAUAUUCUCAAAACUAUGCCUCUGAUUUUAAAGAUUUAUUCUUGUUGGGUUUAUUCACAGGGGUAAAAGCAGCAGCCUGUUGUUUUUCUUCUUCUGUUAUGCAGGAAAGCUCUAAUCUUCUUAUCUUAAACAUGAAAUCAAUGAAAGGCAAGGAGUGUGCUAGUGCUUUACCGAUUCUAUUUAGGAUUUAGUAUGCUAUUUAAGAUUUCUAUGUUGAGGUGCUCUGUUCUCGCUUGUAUUUGUUCUUCUUACUGAUUCCGAGUUGUGGAUUUGUAAGUGACCUCUUUGUGCUUAAGCAUGGUUGUGUGGUGAUUUUCUACAUGGAUGAAAAAGGAGUCAUAAGGGAAGUUGUGUGUUACCUCUUAUGAUAGUGAAGAAAAUGGGGCUGCCCUUGUUGUUACUCUCGGUUAUGUGCCACUCUUUACUCUCUAUCUUGCUGAAAAUUUGAUGGUAUGCAGAAGGAAGUUGAAUGUGUUGUGGAGGGGAUUUUAUAGAUUGGUUGUGGUGUACUAUGGGGGAAUUAAAUGGGGCUGAUCUCUCUUGUCUUCAUAUCACAACAUAUCUCUCUUUUUCUGAUCAUGCAGCCCCUUUGUCUUAAUGUAGUUUGUUGGCUAGUUUGGGUACUUGGUACUUGGUGAAUAAAUCCCAUUGUUUGAUUGUGGCUAGAUAUAACAGGUGUUGCGUUAGUGAAGGGCUUUGCAGGCUGGACUUGCCCCCUUUUUGGGUAAGUCCUUGGUCUUCAUAGGAAAAGAAAGGUGAGAGAGGAAUCUUAGCUCCCACCUAGCUGCACUUCGAGCGGGCCUGGAUUUGAUGUCUGGGCCGACGGGCUGCCCGAAACGGGCCCUAAAUUGGGCCUGGAGAAAAGGCCCGAAAUGCACUCCACAUUUUAUAUUUUCCUUUCCUUGUUUUCUUUCUUUAAGGACUUUGAUCCAUGUAAUCUAUUUUAUUAGUUGUUCAUUUUAUUGGACACGAAAAUACCAUUCGAAACACUUUAUUUUUCCGAAGUGUAUCUUUAGUCUGUUUU